RNAcentral lists this long non-coding RNA (482 nucleotides) under Salvia miltiorrhiza (redroot sage). Its description in RNAcentral is "long non-coding RNA (SMIL_LNC002937)". The record is from RNAcentral. Lineage: Eukaryota; Viridiplantae; Streptophyta; Magnoliopsida; Lamiales; Lamiaceae.
UUCGAGAGAGCUUUCCGUGGCCACCUGAUUCGUCUGAAUCGGAGUUCUGUGGAGGAAGUUAUGGCCGUUUUACGGAGACUGCCAGAUCUUGGUUUCCUGCGAAAAUCUGACUCCAGCUCUGAUCUUCUCGACUGUAUCCCGCUCAGCUUUCACCGUUGGAUGGACAACGAUCUAUGAAAGUCCCAAGAGAGAAAUAAGCCCCACACGUUUUUCUUCCCUGCGCCCCACAGCUCUCAAAACCCUAAUAUUUUAUCAGUCUGUUUUCCUGAGAGCUGACAGCUGUAUUUAAUUAAAAUUAAAUACGUGUGGGCACAGAAUUAGUGUAGGAGGCGUUUUUCUCUCCUUCUAGGGCUAGGAGACAUUGGGCCAGUCCAGGGACCAGAUACAAGGAAUAAAGAUGGGCCUCAAAUAAAUUAAUUUAUCUAUGGUCAGCCCAGACCAUAAUUAAUUUAUAAAUAUCAGUUCAUUCCACUAGAGAACCG